Molecule: ribosomal RNA, 1245 nt
Filed under: metagenome
Description: bacterial SSU rRNA
Rfam family: Bacterial small subunit ribosomal RNA
Source: RNAcentral
GGGGUAAAAGCCCACCAAGGCGACGAUCUGUAGCUGGUCUGAGAGGACGACCAGCCACACUGGGACUGAGACACGGCCCAGACUCCUACGGGAGGCAGCAGUGGGGAAUUUUGGACAAUGGGCGCAAGCCUGAUCCAGCCAUGCCGCGUGCGGGAAGAAGGCCUUCGGGUUGUAAACCGCUUUUGUCAGGGAAGAAACGGUCUGAACUAAUACUUCAGACUAAUGACGGUACCUGAAGAAUAAGCACCGGCUAACUACGUGCCAGCAGCCGCGGUAAUACGUAGGGUGCAAGCGUUAAUCGGAAUUACUGGGCGUAAAGCGUGCGCAGGCGGCUUUGCAAGACAGAUGUGAAAUCCCCGGGCUUAACCUGGGAACUGCAUUUGUGGCUGCAUGGCUAGAGUGCGGCAGAGGGGGAUGGAAUUCCGCGUGUAGCAGUGAAAUGCGUAGAUAUGCGGAGGAACACCGAUGGCGAAGGCAAUCCCCUGGGCCUGCACUGACGCUCAUGCACGAAAGCGUGGGGAGCAAACAGGAUUAGAUACCCUGGUAGUCCACGCCCUAAACGAUGUCAACUGGUUGUUGGACGGCUUGCUGUUCAGUAACGAAGCUAACGCGUGAAGUUGACCGCCUGGGGAGUACGGCCGCAAGGUUGAAACUCAAGGGAAUUGACGGGGACCCGCACAAGCGGUGGAUGAUGUGGUUUAAUUCGAUGCAACGCGAAAAACCUUACCUACCCUUGACAUGUCAGGAAGUUACCAGAGAUGGUUUCGUGCUCGAAAGAGAACCUGAACACAGGUGCUGCAUGGCCGUCGUCAGCUCGUGUCGUGAGAUGUUGGGUUAAGUCCCGCAACGAGCGCAACCCUUAUCAUUAGUUGCUACGCAAGGGCACUCUAAUGAGACUGCCGGUGACAAACCGGAGGAAGGUGGGGAUGACGUCAGGUCAUCAUGGCCCUUAUGGGUAGGGCUACACACGUCAUACAAUGGCCGGUACAGAGGGCUGCCAACCCGCGAGGGGGAGCUAAUCUCAGAAAACCGGUCGUAGUCCGGAUCGCAGUCUGCAACUCGACUGCGUGAAGUCGGAAUCGCUAGUAAUCGCGGAUCAGCUUGCCGCGGUGAAUACGUUCCCGGGUCUUGUACACACCGCCCGUCACACCAUGGGAGCGGGUUCUGCCAGAAGUAGUUAGCCUAACCGCAAGGAGGGCGAUUACCACGGCAGGGUUCGUGACUGGGGUGAAGUCGUAACAAGGU